ACGGAGGGUCCGAGCGUUAUCCGGAAUUAUUGGGUUUAAAGGGUCCGUAGGCGGGCCGAUAAGUCAGGGGUGAAAGUCUGCCGCUCAACGGUAGAACUGCCUUUGAUACUGUCGGUCUUGAGUUAUAGUGAAGUUGCCGGAAUAUGUAGUGUAGCGGUGAAAUGCAUAGAUAUUACAUAGAACACCGAUUGCGAAGGCAGGUGACUAACUAUAUACUGACGCUGAUGGACGAAAGCGUGGGGAGCGAACAGG
This 252-nucleotide ribosomal RNA is filed under the name uncultured bacterium. RNAcentral's name for it is "partial 16S ribosomal RNA". It matches the Rfam family "Bacterial small subunit ribosomal RNA", at positions 525 to 776 of the family's 1533-position model. The record is from RNAcentral.